GAUUGAUACUGUUACGGUUACGAUGAGAAGCGACCCAUUGAAAAGCAGUCCAGCAGUCUUCAUAUGCUGCGGGAAGAAGGUGUUCUGGGGCUAGCCUGUAUUCAAUGGAGACUGCGAGUACUUGAGACUGAGAGACCAAGAUGUUGAGGUACCUGUGGUCAAUAAAUGAGAAAGCGGACUCGAAGCAGAAGGCGCUGCCGUGGAAGUAGACCAAAACGGGGAGUUUUUGAUGGGGUUGGGCGAGUUUUGGGAGGUAGAGGCGAGCGGAUAUGGCGGGGUUUUGAGAGAUGGUUACGUCUUUUGACGAGACCCCGAAUUGAGGAUCCGGGUCAAGCGUUGGAGGCACGUAGGGUGAAUCCAUCAUCCGCUCAACUGACCCAUCUUUGUAGACUCUGAUCAGUGGGAGGAGCUCUUUGGCUACUUCUUUGUUUGUUGAAGCAGCCAUUGGAAUUUUUGAGAGAGAUUACUGAAUUGGUUUGGAAAUCGCGGAAUUACUUGACAGGAUCGAGAGAAGAAAUGGCCGAAUUGGUGAGUGGGACACAGUUGAGCUGACCAAGACCCAUUUCUGUUCUGAUUGCAAUCCAACUUAACAUGUCCAGACUAACAGUACCACACAUUGACUUUAUUAAAAAAAGUUUAUGUCACAUUAAAGUCUUAAAAUGCAAGACAGCGCGCUAUUAACUCCACUGGAAACAGCCUUAGUUACAUUGUCUGAGCAUUGUGGGAGUUGAAUGUUUAAACUAAAAAUAAUUUGAGUGUAUUUGAAUUUUUUUUCUCCUUUAUAUGUGCAUACAAAGAAACUCAACCUUUACAAAAUAAUGAGUAAAAUAAAUAAAAAAAUUAUAAGGAGGAAUUGUAUCAUUACGAAGGCAGAAUCUUAUUUUGGAUUAUAUUACGUUGAAUGAAAAUAAUCAUAAUUAAUUAAACUUUUAACAGUUACCAAGCACUAUUUUUUUUUCCUUUCAUAAAAGUCAAACAAGAAAAGUAAUCAUGUGGAACUUUCAACUAUUAUUUUAUUUAAUAUAUAUGAAUAUCGAAGUUAUCUUUUUAACAAAAAAAAAAUCGAAGUUAUCUUAAUUAUUUGAUAUUAUGGCUUAAAGGCGUUGACCAUUAAAAUAAGACAAAAUAAAAUUUAAAAAGAAACAUACUGAUAACGAGCUUCAAGGUCACACAUACAUUGAACACGAAGAGAAGACUUUGAAAGAAAGAAUAGUCCACUGGGCCGGCGGCUUAGAGUGUGCAGCACGUGCAUGAACAUGAUUCGAUUGAUUGGAUCAACAACACCUUUUGUGAAGCCCGACUGUUUUUAGUUAAGUCUAGCUUCGGUUGAUUGGAUCGAAUAUUUCACCUAUUUGUUGUUAUUAUUCCGGUUAUUAGGUGAAAACUUGGAUGAAAAUUGCUAAACUCGGCAUUCGUAAACUAAAAUAAUAAAACCAAAUUAAAAAUCUAGAAAAAUGAAAACGAGUGGAAACAAGUUACCAACGUACAGAUGUGAUGCCUUUAAUUUUCUUUAAUCUAAAAAAUUUGCUGAUUGCUGUGCCUUUAAUUUACUUUCUUUAAUUACAAAAAUUCCUCUCUUCAGACAAGUUAAGAAUCUGCAAAUUUUAAAACCACCGACACCACCUGCUGCCGCCACAAUCAUCAGCCUUCACACCCGCCGCCGACAGUGCUCUGUGGUGACGGCAGAAGCUUGCUGAUAUUGAAAGCUUGGUUUGAUAAGAGAACGAAUCAAAUGAGUUGGAUGUCGUUAAAGUUUCUAAGUAAUUUACUGAUUCCGUCAAAAGACAUUACGUGUCACUCACUUUUAAUUACUGAGAAAACCCAUUUUUUAAAAGUUUUUUGUUUAAAAAACCGAACUUAACCGUUUUAAAACAUAUAGAAGGCCCAAUCUAGUCUAACAAAAUAGUUCGAUUCCAAAUUUACUCAGUCCACCCUUUUAAACCAGUGCAUGUGACAAUUUUAUAGAUACUCUAUGAAAAUUUUAAUAAUUUGUUGUCUUAACCUUAUAAAUUGUCAAGCGCAUCAUAUUCCUGCAAAUAGCAAAUUCUAAAUAUAUCAUAUUUGGUUAUAGAAUUUAGAAUCUUCUUACUUUCUUAAUAUAGUAUGAGGAAGAUAUUGCAUUAUCUUUUUUUUAUAAGGCAUAACUAACGGUGGAUGUAAGCAGUAUCGAAGUGUACUAUUUCUUAAUUAAGCAAACAAUGAGGUAUUUCAAACUAUCUUCUGCUAAUUGAGAAAGAGUUCUUAUAAUUUCUUCCCGUUUGAAUCAUCUCGCUGUGUGUUAUCCAUUCGACAUGAUUAUGACUUUAGCAUAAAUAUAAUGAAUCUUGGACUAACGAAUAAGACUUUCUAACUAGUACUUGUAGCACUGAGAGGACACGUGUUUUUUCUAAGCUUUAAUUAGUUAGUCAAACCAUUUUUCAAAUUCAAUUACAUUUUUAGCCUAAUUAUCAUUAGAAAUACUCAAUAAAUUGGAUAAUCAUGUUACAUGCUAAAAUAAAAACUAUAAUUAUUUAUUUAAUUUCUAUAUUUUACAAGAAAUUCAACAGCGGAAAUGAUGCUUGAAGAUGGUAAACUCGGCUCAAAGAAAGUGAAGAUUGUGGGAAAGCCCUCAGACAUGAACUUGCUUUUUUCAUAUCUUUUUGGUUGAUGAAGAUCAUAUCAACUGCAAAAUUCAAUCGACGAUUUUGAAAUCAUAUGAAUCAAAGUCGAAAAGUGGUUAAAAUAGAAAACUGCAGUUGAUUUUUUUUUUUUUUCGUGCUGGAGUAAUUUCUAUAGUGUUCAAUAAAAUGAAAGUUCCUGUUAGGAAUGGGAUCGAGGUAUAUUAGUUAAUUUCAUAAUAUCGCCUAUUUUCUUCUCUUGACUAGAAAAAUAGAUAUUUGGCUUCAAAGGCAGCUAUUCAUUGUUCUAUACUAAUUAAAGUAAGUAAUCAGUGUAACUAAUUAAUAAGCAUAUAUCAAUGAUCAACAAGUCUGAUGUAAAAUGAUUGCGUAGGAUGAAAAGAGUACUUUUGGAGGUAAUAAUUUAAACUAUAGUUACUCAUUUUUAACUUGUAAUAUAUUAUUUUAAAGUUUGCAAUCAUACGAACCUAAUCCAAAAUGUCAAAUUAAAAAUUACUGUUUUUUUAUGAUCGUUUUUCAGUUUAAGUUAUUUUUUUUAUUACUUUUAAGAUUUUUAUCUUUUUUUUUAUAUAUCAGAUUUGGACGUCACUUGUUUUAUUUUCUUUAGAAAAAUUUUAUUAUAAAAUAAUAUUUUAUAUUUACUUAUUUUGAUAAAUUCAUGAUAUUUAGGGUUAAUAUAAAAAAGCAUCAAAACCAUAAUUUUAUUCAUUCAACCUUUUUAAUUCAAUUUUCAUUAUAUAGAAACUUAGUUUCUCUUUAUCUAUCAACUUUUUUAUUUCCACAUCAUCAAAGUCAUAACGAAUCCGAUGUUCAACAUUAAGAUUUGUCAUCAGCCAGCCACAUGAAAUGCGAGAAAAUAUUAAUGCUAUUUGAUAAAUGAUCUCGAUAUCUUGAUUCUUGUAGUUCUAACAAAUUAAAAUUUAUCGAAGAAAAAAUCGAACACAUUACAUGAUUAGAUGCAUCUAAGUAUUCCUAGAGCUGGCAUAAUAAGAUGCGACUCUGAUCGUACAUUACAUAAUAUGAAAUGCAAACCCCGGGUCCCUUUUUUUAGUGUAUGCGGUCCGGGUAAAACUCGGACCGGAUUGGCGGGUCCGGUCCGGGCGGGUUUUUUUUACACCCCUAAAUUCUAGAUCCGGAGUUUGCACGAUCAUUCUUCUUGAAAUGAAUUUAUCAUUAUCGCAUGUUUACAUUUUGAAGUGUUUCAAGGUGUAAUUAAAGUAUCCUCGCCUUAGGCUCAAGAUAUUAGAAGAGGGAAGACGAUAUGAGCGGAUCAAGGGAAGAAUCUCCCGAUUGGCUGCGUUCUUUCCAGGUAUAAUUCAUUUUAAUUUCUAAAUUUCUCAAUCUCUCAAAAAUUUUGAAAAGAUGGAUAUAUGUUCAAUGGAUCACACCUACCAAGUGAAAGUAUUUUGUUUUUUCUUUCAAGUUAGUCUCACAAAAAUUAUUUUUGGUGUCGCUGCUGAGCAUGAUUACAUAUUUGCUCGGCCACUGAUUAAAUUUACUUGUAUGAUCAGGCUCCAACUCAUUCUGUAUUGACGUUAUCAUCUGAUUCUGAUUCUGAUUCUUCUCACAAUGGUACAUCCUCAAUGGAGGACGAGAUUGAUAAUGGAUACACUUCGCCUCAAAUUUUCUGCCGGGGUUUUAGCAAUAACAACUUAACUACAUUGUUUUGUUCUUUGAUAAUAAUUUAGGGAACGGAGAUGGUGGGAAAAAUAUUGCCGAGCUGACAUUUGAGAAACAUAUGGAGCCUUUUGUAAGAAUCUCUGUGCCAUCACUGCUUGGGUAUUCUUCCAUCUGAUAAUUGCCUUAGGCCUUUUUGGUAUUGAGUAAAAUAUCUGGUAAAUACUAGCUAUUAUAGUUUGGAAGCUGAGUUGAUUUGACUGGACAAUUGUAUGAUAACAAACCUAUAUAAUAUCUUUACUAUUUUUGUCAAAUUAUUAUUAGAAAAUCAUAUUUACUAUAUACUAUCAAUUUUUAUUUUAUAGUCACUGUUUUUUUUUCACAGCAGCUGUAGCUUUUAGCUGUUGUAACGUAAAAACUACAGCACCACAAUACUGAAUAAGGUCUUAGAUAUAUAGGAAUUUGCUAAGUUCCUUAUCAUGGUUGUCUUUUGACGGUCUAUUAUAGAAGGUCAUCAUUCAAAAUACCAAAAAUAAAUAAAUAAAUAAAAAUCUUUCUAUUUUGAUUAUCUCCAAAGAGCUUUCAGCCUCUUGAGCAAUUAAUUCAAGUGACAAAAAUUGGUACUUUUCUAGAUAACUCUUUUCAUCAAAACACGAGGACCUUAGUCAGUCACCAAAAUAUUUGGUCACUGUUGUCUUAAUAAUAAAAGCAACUCUCAUGCAAAUAAGCAAAUUUUAAUUUAUUUAUUUAAUUAUUUUGUGUGUAUGUGUCCUGCAAGUGCUCUAGUUUUGAGAAUUUAUCAAACAGUUGUUGCCUGCUUAAUAUUUUUUUACCAAUGCAUUUCUGUGGGAACAUUAUAAGUUUUAUAAUGAAUUUCAACUACUUCUCCAAGAAGAUGGAAGGAAAUUGGUAUUUGUGGAAAAUUAAACUCAUUUACUCUGGUGGGGAACCUUUUGUGUGUUAGGAUUUUAUUGAUGUAACUGAAGCUGAAAACUUGGAGGGCCUGAUGCUGGUCCUUUGUUCAUAUUCGAAUGCAAAUUUGUGGCAGAAGCAAACUGAUUUAGGAUGCACAAACUUUGAUUGGAUUGUACAAAUAAAAAACUCUUAGUUCUUCCAGGCAAAAGCUUCUUUUGACUAGUAAGAUACUGCUUUGGCUUUUUCUGUGGUUAAUUUUAGGCUUAUAUGGAGCUCAUAAUUGUAUGUUACUGUAGGGGCAGAUAAAUUUUUAAGGGUCUUACUGGUGCUCCAAAAUAAGAAAGUUGUUAGAUUAUUGUUAGAUUAUCCCUGUUGGUUAUAUUUGAGCUUAUAAAGAAAGUUGUCUGAUUUGACAUUCUUGUGAGUUUAUGGUCAAGAAAUCUAAGGGAAUGCUAGGCUCCUCGUUUGAAAUUUGCCACUGACUUAACUGGAACUAGCGAGCAAGUGUCAAUGUGCUUUUGGGUGCUUAGUUCUUACAUUUGAAACUAGUUAAAUUUAACAUGGAAUUUAUGCUUCUUCAAACACUAUUACAAUCUUCAUAAGGCUGCCUCAAAAAAUAUGUGGUAUGGAACUCCUUGAAAUACAUUGGAUUAUUGGUUUAUUUAACGUGUUCAGAUAUCUUGAACCUCUUCAGAUUGUGGUGGAAACAUUAGAAACAUAUGUUGAGCUUGCCAUCUUGUGUCGAUUGAUGACAACUUCAUUUAUUGUUGAGUAGGCACCAAAAAGUUCAAUUUUGGCAUCAUCAUCAGAUUCUGAGUCAUGCCAGAAUAGUAGCCUCUUAAGGGAGGAGAAAGCAUUUCAGUUCCAAGAGAAAGAAAUGGACGAGGAUGCAGCUCUGACUGGUAGAGAAGAAAAGACUUCAGUUAAGAAGGUUUCAAAAGAAAAGUCUCCUAAGAAAGGGCUAAAAUCACCAAAGAAAGAAAAAGAUGUAAUUAAUAAUGUGAAAAGAAAAGGUAUGAAGUCUAUGCGAUGGUGACAGAUUCUAAUUUGAAAGAUUGAUAGUUAAUCAGGAUAUUGUCUUAAAUCUGAAUCUUUUGUGGACAGAAAAUGGACUGUUUUCAUUUCACCAAAAAAGAAAUUAAAAAAUAAAAGGUACUUUAUUUGGAGUUCUUAUGCAUGUCGGUUUAUAAUGGUGUAGGAAACAAUGACCAUGAAGAUGCUGAGGAAGACAUAGCGGAGAAGCGUAGUAUGCUUAAUGUGAGAAUUUUAUAGUAGCAGCUGUGACGAUUGCUCCUCUAAUCUGUCUUGUUCAACUCAUAGUUUUAUUAUUUUCAGGUCUCUACCUCGACAUUGCCUUUGGUGAUGUCAGAGAAACUCCAACGUACUAAGGUAGCACAUCUUGUUUAGAUUUUGGCUUCCUUUUAUCUGCCUUUUCUUUUGUGCUUGAUUCACUAGUCUCAAACUUUCCCAUAAUAAUUUCCUAGUUAGACAUGAAAUGUAUCUUUAUGCUGCAGAAAUUGUUACUUUUGCUGAUGUUUAAAUUGCAAUUCUUCAACGGAUGAGAGGAGGAUUUUCUUGCAAAUAGUGCUGAUGGAUGCUUAUAAAAAUGACGGCCUUUGGUGCUUUUUUGCCCAACUAAUUAAUCUUAUUAGAUACUUAGGAGUAUCAUCAGAUGCUAGUAAACUAAUUUCUCUUUUACUAGAACAUGCAAGAAUGCAUCAAAUACUUUUUCUCAAUGUCUAUCUCUCGGGUGUUCAGGUAUAUGUAGAUAAAAAACUGCGGAUUUGUUUCUGGUUUUCGUGACUGAAUUUUUUAAUAUAUUGUUUGUCUCUGCAUGUUCUCUUUUGUGUUUGUCUCUGUAUGUACACAUCUAGCAUACAUGUAAUGAAUAGAAGCUUUGUUGUUUAUGCAGGCACUUGUGGAGUGUGAAGGGGAGUCUGUAGAUCUGAGUGGCGAUAUGGGGGCUGUUGGAAGAAUACUAGUUCCUGGUACUGCUGAGGGAAACCAUGAAAUGUUCUUGGACUUAAAAGGCAUGUUUUUUUUCCAGUUCAAUUUUUUUUAAUUCAUAAAUUUUAAAAUGAUCUGUCUUUUUCUUUUUAAAAUAAGAACAGAUAAUCAUCCCUAUUUUAUGUAAGACAGGACUGUAAACUCACAUGGUUUAAAAUUGAAUUAAGUUUACCAGCAUUGGACGCAUUUAGCAAUAUACAUUUUUGCUCCUGUUUUAUUUUUAUUAUUUUUGGGGUCUUGCUUACCUCCUGUUGUAUUGUUUUCCCCAUGUCUUGUCUACCUGCUCAGCUGCUCCCUUGUUUUUUCCGCUUUAUUGUUUGUUUAUAUAAAAAUUACUCUUUCAAGGUCUACUUUGACAUGUAUUCCUGAUUGUUGAUUAUUUAUUUGCAUUCUCGGUCUGCUGUUGACUGGUUUAGUGUUUUUUCACUCUCAGGAACCAUAUACAAAACAACAUUAGUUCCUUCCAGGACAUUUUGCAUUGUACGUUAUCAAUCUCCUUUGAAAUUCCUCAAAUUGGAUAUUAUUUCACCUACUCAAAAGAAACGGCGAUGAUAAUAAUAGCAUGAUAAUAAUAAUAAUUAAAUCCCCUUUCCAUUUUCUCUGUUUCAAUUAUGGUCCAUAAAAAGUUAAUUUUUGCUGAGAUAGUAAGAUUGUUUAAUAACUUAGCUUUCUUUCUCUUCAGGUUAGCUUUGGCCACUCAGAGGCUAAGGUUUGUUGCGAGUCCUCUCCUUUUUCAUUUAUACUUUUGGAUUUUCCUAUUUUAAUUUUAUUAUUAUCCUUUUGUCUGUCAUAUAUAUUUUUCUUCCUCAUUAGUGAUUUUCCAAAUAGUUUAUGACUUUGAUAUUGCUAAGACAACCGCGGUACUGUGAUAAAUUUAAUCCAACUUAUUGACAUAAUUUUAUAUUUCUUGAUCAGAUAGAGGCCAUCAUGAAUGACUUUAUUCAGCUGAAGCCACAGUCUAAUGUUUAUGAAGCUGAGACUAUGGUUGAAGGUCAAGAUUUUAUCACACUUUCUCUAGAUGCACGCACACACACUCAUAUAUGUGCAUUUACUCGAUUAUCCUAAUGUUUGUCUUAGAUUCAUCCAGAUAAACCAUUUUCAAAAGUUCAUUGAGGACCCAGAAGUUUCACUGUUUUAUCAUUAAAAUAGUUCAAAACAAAUUAAUCACUCGGAUACAUGUUAAUUUUAAAACUUAUCCCUUAAUAUCCCGCUAAAUAAUAGGAGUUGGUUAAACUUAUUGUCAGACACAUAUCUAGCUAAAAUCCAAUGUUUUCCCCCCCUUUUUUCCUUUCUCUAAGAUGGUGUGUGAAAAUGAUUGCUUUACUAAUUCUUAAAUCAAAAUGUAAUUGAUAAAAGAACAUUGCUCUAAAUUGAAAAAAUUGCCCCGGGUAUUUGAAUUAUUUAUUAAAAUUGGCAUUUAGGCAAUUGGACUUAUAACAACUAUAUGUUUUGUACAUUUAAAUGUGCAUGCUGACAACCACUUCACUUCUUAUUAUAUCUAUGUCCUAUCGAGUUCUUACCUUCUUCCUCACAAUUCAUGAAUGCUGUUUCACUCACAAUGUGUGAACAUUGCAAUAGAAAAUUUAUUGAAGCAUCUGAACUCAACUAGUAUCAGUGACGGUGGGAUUAUUAAGCUAAAAAUUUUAGAGUCAGUUAAACUUUUAAACAAAGGGGUUCUCAAGUAAUAGACUUUGGAAGUAAUCUAGAGGUUGACUUAAAGUUUUAAACUAAUGGGUGCAUAAAUUUUUUUUUUGGGGGGGGGGGGGAUUGGGCCAAACUCAUAUGAAAGGUGUCUAGAACUUUUUCAUUGUUUAAAUGACAAAAGUACCCAGAGAUUGUUUUCUCGGUUAUCAAUUUUCCUUUUUUUUUUAAAUUGCUUUAACAUAUUUUCACCUAAAUAGAAAAGUGUAGAUAAACUUCCCUGUUAUUUAUUGGAAUGAGAAUAGGUCUGAACUGUUGUCAUUAUGUCCUCUCGCAAAAUAUUAAGUUUAUUUGCUUUUUACCACAUACAAACGUGUGUAUAUGUAAACUGAAUUAUCAUAAACUACAAUAAAAUUGAUUAACGUGUUUCUAAUUUAGAAUAUUAAAGGAUUGUAUUCACUUGAACAUGAUUUAUUUUUGAUAAAAUACUAUCUUAUUAAAUUUUUUUUUUGGGGGGGGGGGGAUUGGGCCAAACUCAUAUGAAAGGUGUCUAGAACUUUUUCAUUGUUUAAAUGACAAAAGUACCCAGAGAUUGUUUUCUCGGUUAUCAAUUUUCCUUUUUUUUUUAAAUUGCUUUAACAUAUUUUCACCUAAAUAGAAAAGUGUAGAUAAACUUCCCUGUUAUUUAUUGGAAUGAGAAUAGGUCUGAACUGUUGUCAUUAUGUCCUCUCGCAAAAUAUUAAGUUUAUUUGCUUUUUACCACAUACAAACGUGUGUAUAUGUAAACUGAAUUAUCAUAAACUACAAUAAAAUUGAUUAACGUGUUUCUAAUUUAGAAUAUUAAAGGAUUGUAUUCACUUGAACAUGAUUUAUUUUUGAUAAAAUACUAUCUUAUUUACAUUUGUUGAGAUGUUUAUAAUAAAUUUAACAUUUAAAAUUUGUAAGGACGCAAUUAUAAAAGUAUAGUGUUCAGAAACUAACAACUUCAUACUCAUUAUUAGAGAUUCAAACUAAAAACCAAGCAUGUCAUUCAAAUUCAGAAAUUUAGCUCUUUUUAGAAUUCAGAUUUAAAAAAUAAAAUAAAAUUGCCACUGUAAUGACUAAUUUUCCAAAAGGGUUAUCUUGGUGAAUUUGAAUGAAGCAUGGGUGCCUGAGUGAAAUUGAGGACAUUUAUACAGAAAAUGUCUUGUUAUGGCAAUUGUGUUUGUGUAUCAUUAUUUGAUAUGUCCACUUCUAAUCGACAUUUGUCCUUCACGUUCAUUGAUUUCAUUUGAGCAGGAACAUUGGAUGGUUUCUUAUUUGAUUCGGAAGAUGAAUCUGACAAGCUUGCUAAAGCUAUGCCUCAUCAAAUUGAUCAAAAUGAUGGCAUUGAAGAACAAACAAAUGAGAAGACCAAAGUGAAAUCUGUAAGUUUCUGGACCCUUUCAAAUAGUUACUACUGCAUCUAUUAUGAAUCCACAACUUAUAAUCUUUUGCAUUGUGUUAUUGUAUGAAUUUUUGAAAAGCAGGGGCCUGCAGGAAAGAGAGGUACGAGUGCUGGAGGACCGCCACAGCCACCAAAGAGAGCAAGAAAGAGAACUAUAGUUUCAAAGAAAGCUAAGGCGAAGAAAUGAGGCAUACAAUGUCUGUUUUAUGUUUCUUAUAUCCUGCUAAUGCUAUGGCUGUAUUAGUCAGAUGUUAGUUAUUUAGGUGAAAUGAAUCAAGAGUAGAAAUCAGAGGUUAAUAAUUUCAGGGGGAUUGUUUUUUGUCAAGCAGCUUAAAUGUGAAAGAGUAACAUGUGAGGUUUUCGCAAUUCCAAUUAUGAUGGAUUUUCUGUUCGACACAAUGAUGUUGUGCCCACUUUACUUAUAGGCGUGCUUGUUGUGAAUCAUGUUUCAAAAUGUUUGGACCAUCUGUAUUUUAUUAAAUUUUGGUUGACUCACUGUGAAAACUGCAAAUAUGGUAUUCAAUUAAAUAAAUAAAUAAUGUGUGCAUUAUUCCAUAUUCUUCCAAGAUUUGGCAGAAUUCUAGACGUAUGAAAUCACAGUAAACUGCUAGACAUGGACUUUGUAAAAAUUGUGUGUUACAUAAUCAACUCCGUGCCAAUUUGAAUCUUUAAGUUGUAUUUUUUCUCAGCCUUUAAUUUAUUUGCACUUGCCAUAUUAAGUAAGGCUAAUUAGUUAGACCAAUACAACGUAUAUAAACCGGUCAGAGAACCAAAACCAGGAAAAUGAAAAUUGACACUCUAAGGGGCUGCAGGUGGAGGUUAUUCGAUGAGGAAACCAUCUGUUGAGUCUUGGUACUGCUGGGAUCUUGAAUUGAUGGUGGUGAAAGUGAACCGCUCGAUCCCUUGAACCUGUGUACAAACAGAGAUGAGGUUGUUACGGUCUGAGAAUGAAUGCAGUUGCCAAAAGCUAUAAAAUCGAGCGAAAGAAUCCAUCGGAAUAGGAUGCAUACCCGCGGCUGCUAGUGUUAGGGCAGAAUAUAAUAGCAUAAUCAUAUGCCUUGCAUGUGAAAGUGCUUGUCCCAUCGUCGAAGGCAUAGCUAUAAGCACUUGGACAAGCUCGCUUAAAAAUUGAUGAAUAAAAGGAGGGGCGGCAUGUGGUUGGAUUAGCAAACUCCCCGCUACAGCAGUAUUGAUCUAAUCCAAAUGCUUCACAUGCACUCUUACAUGCAAUCACUUCCCCUUCCCUUGUACCUUCUCCACCCACCACUUGAAGUUCUUUUGGGCAACCUGAUUACAAGUGAUUUUAAUUCGGUCAUUUUUCAAUAUUGCUGACUGAAAAAUGUUAGAUCAAGUUGAUGAAAAUCGAAAUCUUACCCAUGUUGAUAUCUGAAGCGCAGCCUGUGGCGUUACAAGCACCAUAAACUCCACGUGGUUCAGCAACAAGAGGGAGGUUGUAGCCGUCAACAAUGCUGACAUCAUAAAAAUCUUUGUCAUUGCCCUUGCCGAGGGUUAUUUCGAAGAGUGAUGCAGGUGGGGUAGCACCACUACCAUCACAUUGGAGUCUUCCUCCACAGUCCCCAGUUUGACAAGAUCCAACUCCAAACUCGUCAAAACUGCAUCCUGUUCUUGCCCAAAUCCGACCAGACCAUCCCGGAACAGAUGGAAUUCUUACGCUUUGCCCUGAUUCCAACUGGAAGCCGGUUGUUAGAAGCUGAGGGGUCCCUGAACCAGCAAGUGUACCAGGCCAUAUGGUAUAUGGGCAGUUAUUUGUUAUGGUGAAUGUAGAACCGUGAGAGGGUAAGAAGAAGAGAGAACCGAAAAGAAAAAAGGCAGCAAGGAAUGGCCAUGACGUUAUUGUCAGCAUUGGAUUGGCAGCAAGUUUUCAGAAGCAAAUUUUUGAGUGGCAGUUUGGGAUGGAGAUGCGUUGAUCCCUAGCUACAUUUACAUAAGAUUGUAGGUUUAGGAUUCUGCCUGUGCUAAAGGGCUACGUUGCCGCAAGAUGACCUUUUUGGGUUUAGUACAUUUCUUUUCAUCUUGGAUGGCCUCUUUGAGAAGCAAUUCCUUUCUUUAGCCGCAGCCACUGCAUAAAGCCAGGCAUAUCUAAUAUCUAUUACUGGUGAUGUUAUGAGCUGAUCAUCCUCUUAAGGAAUCAACUUAAUGUAAUAUCAACAGAUGGUUGUUAAGAGUAUGACCCAAGAUAGAUACCCGCUAGCAAAAGAAACAUUACAGUUUCUUGAUUGAUUAGAAAGGGGAGCAUUUGCGAGUUAACUUUUCAUUCCUUGCCAAAAAGAAAAAAAAGGCAAUACUUGUUUAUCUUCUGAAUUUUAAAGAUUUAAGAAAAACAUAUAAGUGAACAUAAUCUUUCUGCAGAUAAAAAUUUAAGCAUCUCAUUUUUCAUAAAUCUCAUCAUUGACUAUCUUUGAAUUUGGAGGAAAAAUCUUACUGAUAACACAUCAUUUUUCGCUGUUUGUGGCUAUUCCAAGAAGUGGGAGACACGAGGGUUAACUAAACUUGAAGAAGAAUCGUAGAUGCAAUGAUGUGCCUGUUAGGAAGUUAAUUCGAUGCAUGCUUUCGAAUUAGACUUUCGUUAAACUCUUUCUAAGGUCGAUUUGUUGUGGCGGGAAUUUGAUGUGCGAACGUGUCGAAAUCUGAUUGGAUGUGUUUUGGUUUGGGCCGGACUGUUCUUGCUUGAAAAAUUCCUCGCCGACAAGAUUAAACCCAAGAAAAACAAUCUUACUAAUAAGAAAAUGGUUUGAGAUAUUUGUAUUUUAAAAAUUAUUUUCAAUACUCAUACUUUUAUAAAAUUAUUUUAUUAUAAAAAUGGCCAAGCAAUAAAUUAUUACUGAAGACAAUCUACUCUUAAGUAAAUAUAACAUUAUUUACUCCAAACACCACACACUUGUUUAAAAUUCAUAAUUUUAAAAUAAAGCAAUCUCUUCCAUUUUCCAAAGAAAGAUUUUAAUUAAAAAAAUGGAUUUCCACGCAACUGAGUCAUCACAACAAGAUUAAUUUCUUUAGUUUUGUCUUGAUUCAAACCCAUCAUCACUCAACUCAAUUCUAAUUCAUUAUUUAACCCUCUACUUUUCUCUUUGUAGGCUCACGUCAAUAUGAAUAUCAUCGCCAAAUCUUUGAGAAUCAGCCGUUGUCCGACAAAUCGGACAAUUAGGAUUCUUCAAAAGCCAUGAAUCAACCAUUGAGAAUGAAAGCUAUGGUUACGUAUAGGUAGCAAUAUUAAUACAUACUCGUCAUCUUGGUUGAAGUUGUCCAAGCUAACCGCACAUUGAUAAUUCAUUUUCUCGUUGCUAAAUAAUAAUAGUAGGGCUUCUAGUAAAUUUCAAUUUAAAAAAAUGGUGUAACCAAUUAUUCUUUUAAUUUGCAGAAUAUUUUUGUGUGUGUGCAUAAUAGAUAAAGAUAACUAAUUUAAAUUUUAAGUGAUGAUUUUUUUAGGCUUUUUAAAGAUUAUAAAUUAUAAAAGAUAGUUUUUAAAAUUAAUGGAUGAAUGUGUAAAGUGAUAGAGUGUUCUGAGCAUUUUAUAGAAUGCAAAUAAUAUCACUCUUUGAAGAUCUUAUAUGCUUCCAUCAUAUGAUAGGUUUAAUAAGUAAUUUGUUUGUUUCAAAUAGUCUCUCCUUCUAUAUAAUUAUCUUAUAAGUUAUUUUCAUAAUUAAGUUAUUUAAUAGCAAAAUUUAUUAUUUUAUGUUAUAUUUUACUGAAAAAUGACAAAUAAUAUUAUUUUGAAAAAUAGUUAGUGGUCACUUUUCCAUAGCUGACGAAGAUGUAAAUUAAAUGAUGAAGAGUGUAGCGCAAUGAAAAUGAGGCUGGGCAUCCAAUGGGGGAAGACCAUCCUAACUAAGGAUGGCAAUUGGCUAGGUCAAGAUCGGACUUUACUAUAACUGAAGUAAAGGGCUUGAGCCUAAAAAAGCUCAAACCUUUGAAUUUUGGGUCGAGGUAACUUGACUCAAUUUGAAUUAGGGUCGGGCUCUGUGCCAUUAUUUUUUUAAUAUUUUAUUUUGCUAAUUAAAUAUUUUAAAUUUAAAAAAAUGAGCAUAAUCUCCCCUAAUGUAUUAAAAUUUAAAAGUAAGAAAAGCAAAUGAAAAAUAACAGCGAGAACAGCAAUCGAAAAAAGCAUCCAAAGCUACAGUUAAAACAGCAAUCAAAAUAACAAGGGACCUCAGACAUCAAGUCCAAUAAGAACAUCAAAUGAAAACAAGAAGGGACCUUGGACAGAGUGGGCUUCGGCCCAGCGGCGUUGUGGCUAAUUUUGGUGGCUGGUUUGUUUAUUUUGUUGGCUGGUUGGCUACCAGUAGCACAGCUGUCGUGGGGUGAGUUCGUGGCUGGUUGGUUGGUCGGUCGGCAGUACAAAAGAACUUUUGGUGAAGAAUUUAAAACUGGCAGAAAAUUGCUAUUUUUGUGAAUAUACCAAAAAUAGGCAUUACAUUGUAAAUUAACAAGGAGUAUAUUGUUAACAAGAACUUUGCAGCUUAAGUUAAUAUACAUUGUACUCUUUUUUCUUUGACCAAAUUUUAUGCUAUUAAGUUUUAUUGACAAGGUUUUAACGAAGUAGUAUCAAAGUACAUCUGGCUCCACUUCUUAUGAGAAUUAAAUGUAACCAAAGUGGGGAGUUUAAGGAGUAUCACAACUAUGGCCACUUUAUUAUUUUGCUUUUGUAAAGACUUUCUAUACUAAAUCUUUAUUAAAAUCCCUAAAUGGUGAAGUUCAAAGGAAAAUGUUGUAGACUUGAUGAACUCUCACCAUUUCCAACAGUCCCACAUCGAAAAUGUAGUCCCCCCCACCCAGGCUUUUGAUUUUUCCUACAAGAAUGCUUCAUUUCCUUCUGCUUAGUGCCUUCUAGGCUCACAGCUUGUAGGGGCAUUUUGAUAUCCAUCACCCAAACAAGUAAUUCUUCAAGAAGAAGAUUCGUAGAUUUGUGAGAUUUGUCAUUUUUUAAAUCCUUGUUGAUGAUAAUAAAAAGAAAAAGUAUCAUAAUAUAAAUAUGAAAUAUGUAAAUAAAUAAAUAAAUAAAUUAUGAAAUAUGCAAAAAUCUCAUGCAUGUACUGAUGGUUCUAACUAAAUCAUAACUUAGAAUUUCAAGUUUUGAUUUUUAAUGAGGCUAGAACAUUAGGUUCUCACCUCCUCAUUUGUGUUGUAAACUUUAGACUAUAACAGUAACAUUCAAAGACAAAUAUACGAAAUAACAAAUCUUAAUUUAUUAAAAUUAAAAUAACUUGAUGAGCGAUUAUACCAUCCAUAUAAACAAAUAGAUUAAACUAGCCAUAUUGACAGAAUAAUAACAUAUUAACAAUAUAAUAACAAUAUAGGCAAUAGUAUAGAACUAGCCAUAUAAAUUAAAAAUUGUUACAAAUAGUAAACAAUUAAAUUAACAGCAUCAACUAACAAUAUAAAAACAUAAUAAUAAAGCAUAAAUAAACAUAAGCGAUAAAAGUUAAACUAGUCACGUCAAAUCAACUAUCAUGCUAAUAUUGUGCUAUAAAUUAAAUAGAUAAAUAAAAUUUUUAGACUAAACAAAAUACUUUAAAUACCUUGUUAUUAGGCUUAUAAGAAGCCAAUUUUUAUUCACACCAAAACAAUCAAAUGAAGCACAUUUUUCGAUGUGGGAUUGUUGCAAGUGCUGAGAGUUUAUGAAAUCUACAACACUCAAUACAUAAUGCCCAUGAAAAUCAAAGCCGCCAAGUCUCAAGCAUAGAGGUUAAAUUCAAUAAUUCUGAGUCGAUACAAGAAAUAGAGUACAUGAACUUCAUAGAAAUGUAUACAUUAAGCACCUCCAUGAUACCCAAUAAUUUUUGCAUUUCAAUGAUAUAACCUUGAAAAACUUUGGCUACUCUUUCUCUUUAAUCUCUCCUAGCCGAACAUACAAAGGAAGAAGGAGCUAGGUCUAUUUUCUUUUUCUUUUUAUGGUAAGGAUUUUUGGUAGUGGGCUUGGUUGGGCUUAAUUAGGCUUGACUUAAAACAAUUAGUACUUGGCCCAAUAACAAUCUUAAGCCCAAAAUCAAGUAAGUCCAAGCACUAAUACGAUACCAUUACCCACACUAAUAUUAUUGCUUGUAACAAACAGCAGCAGCUAUAAAAGUAACGUGACUGAAAAUUAAAUACCAAUUAAGAAAAUAACCCCUAGUCAUCGCAAUACUAUCAAAAUAAUAUUAAUAAUUACUCACUUGAUUUCUGGGUAUUAUAGAUUUUAAAGCCUAAAAAUCUCCAACAAGAGAGGAAACAAUAUAAAUACUCUAAAUCAUCUAUUUGAACCAAUUAAACAAAGUUUCUUGAGCUUUGAUGGUUGCUUACAAAGAGUUGCAUCCUCAUCAAGCCAAAAUCACUACAAUCAGCAAUUAAAGGUGAGAUUAUGAUAUUUCUACGAAAAUAGAAAGAAAGUUAAAAAAAAACGGUGGGAAAAAAAAGCUAAAAAUGGUAAAAAGAAAGUUUGUGAUUAAUGGAGCAAGCUAUUGUAGUUAAAAGAGAAUAUGAAAAUCUACUACUUAACCACUUACAAGGAUAAGAUAUUUUCAGUGUUCCAAAAUUUUGAUCUUCUCCAGACAGUUUUCCAUGUGUUGAGUAACAUCGGCUGAGAGACGUGCUCCAACGGCAAGCUUAUAAUGUUCAAAUUUCACCUCCUCACACUUCAAUGCAGCAUUCUUACAGGCCCUGAUGCUCCCUACCAUACAAAAAGAAAAUGUCACUUCAUUCUCACAACAACAUAGAAAUAGAUGAAGUUCAUACUUCACUGUUCCAAAAAUCAAUAAAUGUGGUAAUAGCUGCCAAAAUGAGUUUAAUGAGUUUUUGAUGAGACAAUCCACCAUGUAAUAUGAAAAUAAUUCAAUUCACAUAACUGCUCGCCCAUUCAAGGAAAAAAAAAUUAAAAAAUUAGCACACAUGGAGCUCAUUAUAAUAUCUAUUUCAACCUAAUUUAUGAAAAGCAUUCAAGAAUGCCACUGAAAUACACAAUUUACUGAUAUGAACAAAUCCCCAUAGAAUUGAACAGCACAACUGCAAAUUUGCAUGCAAAAUAUUGGAGAACUUACUGCAGACGAUCCUGCAUAUGCUUUGCAGCAAAAUGUAGCAACAAAAGAAAACGAACUUCAAGAAGCAUGGUCGUACAAAGGAAAAUUUACAAAUAUCUUCUCAGUUAGAUAAAAAUGCUGAUGCUUUAAACAUAUUAAAAUACUUCUAUAAAACAAAAUCACAUUGAAGAAUUCAAAACUUUGUUCUCGCUAUCUUUUUCCCUCAAAUUAACCACAAAAGUAACCUAUUUAGAGUUGUAUGAACUCACCACUUAGGUCCAGUACGUUAAAUAGAACCAGGCAAUUUCCUAUGCUUCUAACCAUGGUCAUUGCAGACCAAACCUUCUGACAAUCCUCCCUUGAGGCUCUGAUGAUACAUAGCUUGGUGAUGGGAUUCACAUACUUGACUAUAUACACAAAAUAGAUGUUCAAAGAUAAGAAACCAGGAAAAUGUCUUAAAAGUUUUAAGGGGAAAUUUGUGCCGAACAAACAAGGACUGGUGACAUCUCACAUACCUUGGAAUGAUCCAAGCGAAGAAGCUAGACCACACUCGCCGAAGUUUACAAGAAUGCUGUCUCGAAUUGCUUUUGACACAUUAAAUUGGGUAAGUAUAACAGGAUCAUCCACGGGAAGCUCUUUAUUUGGGUCCAAAAAUACCUCCACUACCAUAUACCUAUUUUUAAAUCCUACCAUGAUCCUUUAUCUGUACAGAAACCCAAUGUUGUCAGUUAAAGCAAUACCUCAUUAAGAUGGACAAUUUGCUCAAUAAUAGAUUACUUCAUUAAACAUCUGGAAUUAAAGAGUAAUGUUUCCAGAUCUAUGUAAUUUCGGAUGUAAUUGAAAGUCCAUGUGGCAAUGGGCACAAAACAGCAAUCCAUUUGGAAGCAAUGAAUUUGAUUGGUUCUAUGACAUUUAAAGUCUCAUAGAUUGCCUAACAAAUAACCCAAAAAAAAAAAAAAAAUUUCUUAUGCAGAGAGUUAAUCGGAAAUAGUAAGUUUGAAUCGGAGCCCAGAGAAUCUCCAAGAAGUUUUCUUGGGGCUGCACAAUGACGGUAAGCCAUGCUAGUUGUAAUCAUAACUUAAUAUGGUGCAUCAAACUCUCUUGAGAAUCCAACAAUUACCAGAAUCAUAACUAAUACAAAGUUUUAUAUAGAACUUUUUUCAAGGUAUGUAAUGAAAGCUUUUUAGAGGUACUGCAAUUACCACUAUCAUCACACAAUUACAAUUGUUUACUAAGAAGACAAUCGACAAUUAUUUUAAACAUCUCUAUGCAACAUCUUCAAGAAACAGUGAACUUAUUUUCCUUUUAUCACAUAUUUAUAAACAGAACAUAUCACAAAAAAAAAUACAUAUUAAAGAACCUCGCCUUGAAUGAAUGAAGACAAAGAAAACUCAGUACUUUCUUGUAUUUAAAAGAAAGUACAACUAUGUACUCUUUAUUGAGUAAUACUACAUUGGUAAACAUAGUAGUACUCUCUCAUUUUACUUCAUGGAUUAAGCAAAUGAUAUCUAAGAUAGCAGACUUUUGAUUCCUUCAUUUUUCUGAUCGUAAGUGUUAGAAAAGACUUUCUAUACUAAAAUUUUUCAAAAUAAAGAGUUUGCCAUAGGACUAGGCACUUUGGGUUCGGUUUGGUUUAACCAAACCAAUCCAAAAUCAAUCAGUUUGAAAGAUUUCGAACCAAACCGAAUUAACAUCAGUACAUCCGAGUCAAAUGAAUUUGGUUUUUGGUAAAGAGAUGAAAAUCAGUCCCACUGGCAAUGAAGAAACAGAUAAAAGCAAAAAGCACAAGCACAAAAUUGAGAUCUUGGAAUCUCACAACCACCAUCAAUCUAGAUUAUGUGGUAGAUAAAACACUAAAAAGCUAAAGAAAUCGGGGGAAAAAAAAGAACAAGAACAGUAGGGUUGGCAAUUUGAGGGCCUGGGCUGGGCUUUUGCAGGCCCAGGCCCAAGCCCUUUAAAAGCCCAUCCCUUGAGCGGGCUGGGCGCUUUUAUUUUUUAAAAUUAUAAUUGUUUAAUAAAGCUAUAAACAUUUUAAAAAAAAACCUUAAAUUAUAGAUGAUUAUCCAAUGCACAAAACACUUGCAACACAACAUAAUAAGCUCUAAUUACUAAUAAAUAAAUAAAAUAAUCCAACAUACCAGUAUACCACCAAAAUUAGAGCAUGUAACAAUUUGCCAGCAAAGUUUCUUUAUUCUGUUAAAUUAUAAAUACUACAAUUUCAAAUUUGUUGAAAAUCUAAAUGCAUAAACAUGUAAUGCAAUUUAAAAAUUGAUAUUGCUGCUUCCUAAUCAAAUUGUAACUUGAUUGUGAAGAUGGAUUAUUGAAAAAUUAAUACAGAAAUUAAUAUGUAUAUAAUAAUUAACCAAAUUGUAACUUUAUAAAUUAUAAUCACAUAAUAUUUAUUGCAAAAUUAAUACAAAAAUUAAUAUGUAUACAAUAAAAAUUAAUACAGAAAUUAACCAAUAUUGUAACUUUAUAAUCACAUUGAUAUGUAUGUAUAUAUAGAUUCAAAUUUAAUACAGAAUUUUAUUUUCUACAAGAAAUGAAAAAAUCGAAAGUGGGGCUGAUUUCUACCUCAAAGAUCACGUGGGCAUGGUGUGUUCAAGGCAGAGUGGGUUCGCUGCUGCUGGCAUCCGUGCGCAGCCGCUGCUGGUGCUAGGUUCAACGCGUAUUGGUGCUCGCGACUCCCGUGACUAGCUGGCUGCCUGCUGGGUGCCGGGCUCGCGACUCGUGGUGCAGCGUGCUGGGCUUGCGAAGAUCGGCGGUGGUGAUGGCUGCGAGUGAGGACUGAGGGUGUGGCUGUCGGCUGUCGAGGCACGGUCGGCAGCUGGUGUGUGGUGUCUGCAAUGUUUGUUCUACUUCUUUUAUUUAACUUAGGGUUACUGCUUACCAAGUUAGGGAGAAUAGGUUACAGGGGAGAGUUUUCACUUUUCACUUUUGUUUUUUGUUUUUUUUGUUUUUGUUUUAAAUUAAUUUUUUUUAAAAAUUAUAAAUAAUAAAGUCUGGGUUGGGCCCGGCUUUUACAUCAGGCCCACUAUGUGAGGGCCUUAAUUUUUUAGUCCAUAUCCUUAUUUUUAAGCAACGGGCUGGGCUUAAAAGUCCUCGGGCCCAGGCCGGGCCUUUUUUUUUUGUUCCCUCUCUCUCUCUCUCUCAAGCCUAACUAUUGAACACAAGGUGCAACAGUAGUUUAAAUAGUUAGUUAAACACAACCACUCAAAUGAACACUUAGUAAACAAAUCCUCGAUCCAUCAUUUAACCUCCCAAAAUCCCAAACUCAAACCCGCGCAAAACCAAAACGGCCACAAAAGCCUCCAAUCCCAUCUCGACUCAGCCGAUAACUCACUCCCCUCGCAUUCCAACCAGCCCAUCUUAUCCCAACCCCAGGACCAGAACCAAGUAUGCUACAGCGAUAGCAAACUCCAAGUCAUUUUAAACAAAAUCAUUUUCUUUAAGUUGGUUCAGUCAUACAUGUAAAAUCAAUAAAUAAAUAAAAACAACUUGCUUGCUUACGCAAGUCAGCAACGAUGAAGAUAUGACAUAAGGCAGUAGCGAAUGACAAGUUGAUGACGAGGAUAGAACGGAAGGAAGCAGCGAAUGGCGAGUUGGCAGUGUGUGCAGGAUGGGCCGAUGGUGACGGACAUCUACCGUUUGCGAUUUUAUGCGAAUCUCCAAGUGCAAGGCGAGUGAGUAAAGAUGGCCAACGGGUCGUGCCGUGCCGGCCUAGGCCCAUUAAAGGAAAGCCCACACGUGCACGUGCUCGUGCUCAUGUCAUGCCGUGCUCACUAUGCGUUUCGUGCUGUGUUGUGCCAUAUCUAAUUUUUUUUUUUGCUUAGGCCCAGCUCAGCACACAUGUCGUGCUGUGGGCCAUGCCGUGCCAAGAAAAAAAAGAAGCACAUUAUUAAUUAUACUUCUUUAAAAUUAAGGUUUCCAAAAAUAAAUUUUUUUAUCAAAAAUAACUCUUAAUUUCUUAAAAUACGUAUUAAUUUUUUUUAUUAAUUAGAGAAUUAUUAAGAAAAUACUAAAAAAAUGAGGCUUUCUUAAAAUAUGAGACCUUAGGCAACUGCCUUGUUCGCCUAUACCUAAAGCCAACCUUGACUAAUAGCACCGCACAUUGAUUUUAUUAUAAAAAAUUAUGCCACAACAAAGUCACUUCAACUAAAAUAAACAUGAUAUAUCUUAAAGGGAGGCCCUAAGUUACGUUGAACGUAACUUACGGCCCUCUCACAGCAACAAUACCACUGGUGGGACUGGGCACUGUUGCUGUGAGAGGCGUAAGUUACGUGCAACGUAACUUAGCGCCAGCCUAUCUUAAAAUGCAAGAAAGUGCAGUAUUAAUUGCACUGGAAACAGACUUGGUGACAUUGUUUUAAUAUUGGGGGAGUUAAUUAUGUAAACUCAAAAUAAUUUGAGUGUUUGUGAAAUUUUUUCUCAUUUAUAUGUCAUUACAACAAAACUAGUCAUUUUCAACUAAACUUUUUUUUAAAUAAUUAAAUAUGGUAGGUAAUAGGGCAAUUUUCAACCUUAAAGUGAAGAUGUAGAAAAAAAUGAAAUAGUUAUAUAAUUUUUUUUAAUAAAAAUAACAUUGUUGAGAAUAACUUCAAAAUUAGUUAAUAAUAAAUUUAUUUUAGCAGGAAAUUUUAGCGCCAUUAGUAUUUAUAACUACUGUAACUAAACAUUAGAAAUGCAUAAUUUCUAUCGUUUCAAAAAUAUAGUUUCAAUUACUGUUAUUUUUUUUGUUAAAAAUAGAAAAAUAUUUUUAACUGUAACUAAGGUUAGAUGAAAAAACUAUUUAAAGGAUAGAAAAUUUUAAAUGACAACAUGGCCGCCAAUAAUAUUUUUCACUAGUAUAACUUGUAAGGUUGGUCAAAGCAAAGCUAUAAGGGAAAGAAAAUAUAAUAUAAAAGUAUAGAUCAUCUAAAAGAAAAAAUAAUUGUAAGUUUUUUUCUUUGUUUGCCAUUUUUUUUAAUCAAACAUGAACUGAAUAAUUAAAUAAUAAUUAAUUAAUGUACUUAAUGUUUAAUAAAAUGAACUUCCACAAUUGAUGUAGGAAGGUAAAUUAGGUUAUUUUAGGUAAUUUGGGAUUAUAGAAUAUUUAUUGUUUUAGGAUUUUUUAUUUUAGUUUGAGUUAAUUAUAGUAUGUAUCUUAAUCUUUUAUUUCCAUUAUAAUUGUGAUUUAGCUUUUCUUUUUAGGUUAACUUAGGGAAGUGGGUUUCCUCUAUUAUAAAUAGAGAGGCCUUGUCAUUAUUUUAAAAGUUCAGAUUCAAUUAUUCAAUAAAGCUCCCCUUUUAUAAUUCCCUUUGGGAUUAUCUAUCAAAAUUUAUCUUGUAGAAUCGUUUGGAUUAGAGCGUCAUUUAAUCUCGCUUAUGCGUUAUUAAAAAUCUCAUAGAGUUGUCUUGGUUAGAACGAUAUCUAAUCACGCUUCGAUUAGAGCGUAAACUAAUCGCGUUGGCUUGGUCCAAUACUAAAACGAUAUCUAGUGUUUUCUAUCCAAUCAAUCCCGCUUCCGCUACAUCUCGCCCCAUCAACAAUGCACACAUAAUUUCCAUCAUCCAAAAAAUAUAUAUAUAUGAAAGUGCCUAACACUUGACCAUGAAGUAAUUUGCAAUAAGUUAUUUAUAAAAUAAUUAUUAAAGGAUUAAUUUUUUUUUUCUAAAGGUUUUACUAGGUGCAACAAUAGAUAUUGAAUUACCUUAGUUAACUUAAAGAUACCAUUGAUUGAUUACAACAUAGAUAUAAUGUACGAUAUCUUACAAUUAAAUAUCAAUCAACUUUAAAAUAGCAUUAUAGUUCAAGAAAAUUCUAUAAUAUUUAUGAUCUCAUUCAAUCUUAUAAACAAACUUGAAACCUACGUUAAUGUUUAAGUCUCAAUUGUAUUAAUCAUUAUUAUUGAAUCAAUUUAAAGAUUGAUUGUAGAAGUAAUUGGUUUUUUUUUUUAUAGUUAAGCAUUUAAAUAAAUGAUGUCUAUGAUUGAUCAUAAUUAUUGUUGAAUCAAUUUGGAGACCGGCUAAUUUUCAAAUUAAUGUAAUUAUCUAGUGACAAUUUUAAUGAAUAGAGUUUAAAAGUUUUCAUAAUUGUAUUAUACUCUUAAUUAUAGAACAUGGAACUUAUGCUUCAUACUUGACAUUCACUGCAUAUAUUAAAAAAAUUAGAUUAUUAGCAGUGGCGGAUUUAGAAAAAUAAUUUACUGGGGGCUAAAUUAAAUAACGACAGAACAUAAAAAUUGAAAACUUAAAUAUAUAAACUUGAAUAUAACCUUUUUGAUUUAACGAAAUCUCUAAUUAAAAUGUGGCACUCACGAUCUAAUAAUUAGGAAUUAUAAAUAUUUUGAGAUGUGGACUUUGAUUUUAAGUCAAAGUAUAACUUUUAUAAUUAAUAAAAUAAUAAUUGAAAUUUAAAGAAUGUGGCUAACUAAUAAUUUGACAGAGGUUAUUUAGAAAUAUGAUAAUUUUUCUUUAUUAAAUAGAGGUAUUUUCUUUUUCCAAGCCCCCACUUGUCCUACAGUGAAUCCGCCACUGAUUAUUAGUAAUUAACAUUUAAUUAUAGUUGAAAUACUGUUUAUUAAAUUAGUCUAAUUGUCUAAGAAUGGUUGUACAAUUAAUUUCAAUUGUUUUGGUCUGACUUCAAUUCAGCUGAAAUAUUAUGAGUUUAUCUACAUAAUGUGAUUUUCUGGUGAAGAAAAAGGCUAAGAUGCCCAAAAACAGCUUGCUGGGAGAGACGUCUUUGUAUAUUUUUUGGACAUGCGGUGAACCAGUAUUGGUUAUUUCUCUCCUUAGAUAAGGAUUUUAGAGUAAUUUAGCCUUAUUUUGUUGAGGCUUUUGGGUUGCCUUAAGUUAGAUAGCUGCCCAUUUAAAGGCAGUUUGUGCUAGCAAUGUGUCCUCAACUCUAAUUCGCCUAUUUUGAAUGAAUCAAUUGGGUUGAAGAGCAUAUGAUUUCACUAGAGAUUGUACUAGUGGCUUUGUUUGAGGUCCCCUUUCCUCAAUUCUGACUUUUGCGACUUGCUAUGAGAUAUUUUAUAGACAUCCUAAGUGAGGACUAUACUGUAAUGGUGUGGUCUGGUGGCAUUGGCAUGGCUGUCAUUGUCUUGUCGUCCAUAUAGACACAUGGGAACUUGGACAUUUUGUAGUUUCAAUGGUUGAGGCUGGUUGUUUGACAUCUCUUCUCAUUCCAUCCUCCCUUCUCAACUUCAUCUUCAUCCUUUAUCAUAAUCUUGAGUCACAUUCCCCACGUGUUAUGCUGUCAAUACCUGUGGUUUAUAUUUUACAACCAACAUCAACAUAUAAUAAGAACUCUUGCAAUAAUUUAUUAAUAUUUUGAAACAUAACUAUGAAUUAUUAAGGCUAAUAUAGCUUCAUAGUGUAUAAGUCAAAUAUAUUUUCAUCUUUUUUUAUCUUAUUAAUUUUUCAUUUAAAUUUUAAAAUAUAUGUUAAAGAUGUUCUAUCAAUCAAUUUAGGCUAGAUAGUAACUAAGCAAUCUAGUAGUCAUAUAAUAGGUAUUAUAUAUAAUUGUUCAAUUAUAACAAAUUUCAUAUUUGCAUUAAUAUGAUAAUAAGUUUCGUUUUGCAAUUAAUCGAAUCAUAUGGUAAUAAUUUUCAAUAGUUAUCAGUAUGAAAUAACUAACAUAUGAUAAAUUAAUUAAUUGAUUUUUUUUUUUAAUUUGAAUAUCUUGUAUAUCUCUAGUAACUGUUUGGUCCACUUGAUUAUUGUAAUGCCACCUAACUAAAGUUUUUAUUGAAAUGAUAUUUUUACCCUAACCCAUGUUCUCCAUUCUCUCUAACAAAUCUCUCGGUUAGCCACUGAUAUUAAGCAAGGGAUGAAUUCAUCUACUCUUCUUUUGUAUUAUCUGUAUCCUCAAAGCUUUUAACUCUAUUUUAGGGCCAUCUUCUUGAUUCUUUCGAAUUAAGCUUUAUAGAAUUUGGGAAGAUGUUUUUAGAUAUUUAGUAAUUUUUUCCCAUCAACUUUAAUUUCUUAAGUUUGACUUCAAUUAUUGUUGGUCUCACUCUUACAAGGCUGGUUUGCGGCUUUUUCUAUCAGGUUGUUCGAUGAGAAUUAUUUGAUUAAUUGUGGCUUGUAGGUAAAAAUUAUUAUUAUUUUAUUGGAUUUUAAUUUUAACAAUUUAUUUUACAGCAAGUGAAAGAGACAUUAAUUAAGAUAGAUUCAUUUUCUUGUUUAGUAUAUAGGCUUUUCUAUUUUAAUUUAACUAUAUCUUAACUUUUUUAAGUUGUUAUGCAGGAAAUCAAGAGCCUAGGAAGAAAAAAUUACAACAUUCAAAAAAUGCUUAAUCCACAUUGAUUCUAUCAUUUAUCAACAUCAAAAAUAUCAUUAUAGUAGCUUUUGGUUUAUUAUAUUUUAUUCAAAUAUUUGUCAAGGAUUCAAGGAUUAAUCCACAUUGAUUUUAUCUUUUAGCAAUUAUUAGAAUGCCCAGAAAACACCAUAUUUGUAAAGCAAAAACAUAGUCAAACUCAUAUGAAUGUGGAAAACAGACCAAAUUUGUCAAUUUGAAUUGAAAUUCAUUGUCAGAUCAUCGAUAUUGGUAAAAGUCGUGGUGUAUUAUUUUUCGUGUAGCUUUUAGGGUAAUAUUUGAAUUUUGUUUAAGCUGCACAUGUGUUUGUUGAAAUUAUUUAUAAAAGAAUAUAUGUCCAUUGAUUUAUUGAUUACUACACCAUUGAAAUAGGGUCAUGCAGCUUCUGGUGUAUUAGUUGUAUUUUGUUUAAACUGCACAUGCACUUGUUGAAAUUAUUUAUAAAAGAAUAUUUGUCCAUUAUUCAUUGAUUAAUACUAAGUCAUUAUCGUAUGGUCGUGUAUCUUUUGGUGUAUUUUGUCUAAGCUGCACAUGUGUUUGUUGAAAUUAUUUAUAAAAGAAUAUAUGUCCAUUGAUUUAUUGAUUACUACACCAUUGAAAUAGGGUCAUGCAGCUUCUGGUGUAUUAGUUGUAUUUUGUUUAAACUGCACAUGCACUUGUUGAAAUUAUUUAUAAAAGAAUAUUUGUCCAUUAUUCAUUGAUUAAUACUAAGUCAUUAUCGUAUGGUCGUGUAUCUUUUGGUGUAUUUUGUCUAAGCUGCACAUGUGUUUGUUGAAAUUAUUUAUAAAAGAAUAUAUGCCCAUUGAUUCAUUGAUUAUUAGGUCGUAGCUUUUGGUGUAUUUUGUCUAAGUUGUACAUGUGUUUGUUGAAAUUAUUUAUAAAAGAAUAUUUAUCCAUUGAUUCAUUGAUUAUUAAGUUGUAGCUUUUGAUAUAUUAUUCGUAUUUUGUUUAAGCUGCACGUGUAUUUGUCGAAAUUAUUAAUAAAAGAAUAUUUCUCCAUUGAUUCAUUGAUUUUUUCCCCUAGAGGCAAUUAAUAAAAUCAGUUUCAACCAUACAUUUUUCUAUUAAUUCAUUGAUUUUUUUUAUAGAGGUUAUUAAUAAAAUGAUCAUUUUAACUAUGAAGUAGAAUAAAAUGAAUUUCAACAAUCAUCUUCUUGGAAAUGCUAAAAAAUAUUGAUGUCUUAUAGAACUACAGUUGUUUCAACUGUAUUCAGUAGUCAUAAAGAAAUUGUUUUCCUUGUAGUGUCUAUAUACAAAGAAAUUCAACCUUUAACAAACUAACGAGAAUAAUAAAAAAGCAUAAGUAAUCAUAUCAUUACAAAGGCAGAACCUUAUUUUGGAUUACAUUACAUUGCGUGACAGUAAACAUAAUUAAUUAAACUUUUAACAGUUACCAAGUACUAUUUUUUUUCUUCAUAAAAGUCAAACAAGAAAAAAAUCAUACGGAACUUUCAAUUAUUCAUUUUAUUUAAUAUAUAUACAUAUAUGAAUAUCGAAGUUAUCUUAAUUAUUUGAAAUUAUGGCUUAAAGGCAUUGACCACUAAAAUAUGAAAAAAAGAAAUUUUAAAAGAAACAUUAUGAUAACGAGCUUCAAGGUCUCAUGCAACAUUGAACACAGAGAAGACUUUGAAAGAAAUAAAAAUAUGAUACAGACGUCCACUGGGCCGGCGGCUUAGAGUACAAUGCAUUACCAUGAUACGCAUUCAUACAGUGUGAUUCGUGACACUGCACGUUUUAUGAAGCCCAACUAUUCUCAGUUAAGCCCAGCUUCGGUACAUUGGAUUGAAUAUUUCAUCUAAUUAUUACUAUUCUUGUUAUUAGGUGAGAACUUGGACGAAAAUUACCAAAGUUGGCAUUCCUCAACAAAACUAAUAAAACCAAAUUAAAGAUCUAGAAAAAUGCAAACGAAUAGAAACAUGUUACCAACGCACAGAUUGUGUUGAGAUGAGAGAAUUUGAUCCAAUUGUUGCUUGGCAAAAGAUUGCAAUAUUGGUUGUAAAGCAUGAACUACCACUUAAUUCUAAGGAGUAUGAUACAUUUAGGGAUUUGAUGUCUUAUACCAACAUGUUAUUGAAGAUGGUGAGUAAGAACACUUUAAAGAGUGAGAUCCUUAAAUUGUAUCAAGCUGAAAAGGCAAAAAGAAUGGUUUUGUUGGAGAAUAAUAAUAGUAGGGUGACAAUUGCUAUAGACAUGUGGACUUCUAGUAAUCGAAAGAAGGGGUAUAUGAUUAUUACAAGGCAUUUUGUGGACAAAUGCUGGCAUUUACAAAGUUGAAUUUUAAGUUACUUUUCAUGUUAUUUGAUGUUAUAAAUAUUUAUUUACUUUUACUUCAAUUUAAUUAAUUCUAAAAUUUAGUUUUUGGGUAAUAAAUAGGUUCAUAUAUUUGCCAGCUCCACAUACCGUUGAAUUUCUUUCUCAAGCAUUUUUUAAGUGUCCAAUGUAUUGGAGUGUGGAUAGAAGGAUAUCAGUUGUUACUUUAGAUAAUUGUUCGACCAAUGAUGUUAUGGUUGAUAGGUUGAUGGAAUUGAGUCUAGUUGAUUCUAUGUUAGUGGGUGGAAAUUAUUUUCAUAUGAGGUGUGUGACUCAUAUUAUAAGCCUAGUUGUGAAGGAUGGGAUGAAAAUGAUUGAGGAGUGGAUUAAAAAGAUUUGGGAAAAUGUGGCUUGUUGGAUGGGCACACAAAAGACUGUAUAAAAUUUUGAAAUGGUUGCAUGUCAAUUGCAAGUCAAGUGUGAGAAAAAGUUGGUGCUUGAUUGUGUAACUAGAUUGAAUUCUACAUAUGUUAUGCUUGAUGUUGCUGUGAAAUAUAAAAAUAUCUUUUCUAGAUUGUAGUAACACAGCAAACACUACACUUCUUUACCAGUGGAUAAUGAAUGAGAGAUGGCUGAAAAAAUGUUGGAACAUUUGCUAUCGUUUUACUCGAUUGCAUAGCUAUUUUUAGGUACACAAUAUCCCAUAUCUAAUCUUUUUUCCCCAAUGAUAUGUGAAAUGAGUAUUAACAUGAAUCAAUGGGAACUUUCUCAUAUACUUGUGGUUAGACAAUUGUCUGGUCAAAUGAUUGUGAAAUUUGAUAAAUAUUAGACCUAAAUACAUGGGAUUUUGGUGAUGGCUAUUAUCCUUAACCCGAGGCUUAAGAUGCAAUUGCUUAAUUAUUAUUUUUCAUAACUUUAUGGUGAAGAUGCUGCAAAUGAGAUUCAAAGAGUAAGCAAUCUAAGUAACGAUUUGGUUAAAUUUUAUUAAGUUAAUAAUGAAAAUGUGAGUGAUACGAUUAUUGGUGAGUCUUCUUCAAGCGAUGUUCGUUUUAAUUUUAGUACGGGUACUGGUGGUAAAUUUUUUUAUAUAUGUAAGUUUGAGGCAUUUCUAAGCCAAAAUAAUGAGAUCAUGGUAUCGAAGUCUGAUCUUGAGAGGUAUUUAGAAGAGCCUUUAGUCAAAUCCACUUCGGACUUUCAUAUUUUGAAUUGGUGGAUGGUAAACCAAGACAAAUAUCUUGUCUUGGCUCAGACGGCCAAGGAUAUCUUAGUCGUUCCUGUGACAAUUGUUGCCUCUAAAUCUGCAUGCAUUUAGUAGAGAGGUAAAGUCUUGACUUUACAUCGGAGCGGACUUCAUCCUACGAUAUUGGACGUGCUUAUGUGCACUCAAUAUUAGCUAUGGUCGAGCUCUAACUGUAUGAAUACAAAUAAUGUAGAAACUAUUUAAAUAAUUAGUUUGAUAAUAAUUUUAUAUACUUAAAUUAUUCUCACACUUUCUUUUUUUCUUUUUCUUUUUUUUUUAUAGGUAGAAUUCUUGAAACUGAAAUUGUGUGUUUUUAUUUGUAUAAGAAAUUAUUUUUGUUUGUCUUUAUUUUAUUAUUUAUAUAAUUAUAUGGUUGAGACCUUAGAGUAAUUUUUAUAUUUAUAGUACUUCAAACCAAUUCUAAAACUUUUAAAUUUCAAUAUAUAUGGGGAGGUUAUGUCCUUUUUAUUUAAAUUUAAAUAACUUAAAUUUAAAAAAAAUUUAAAAAAAAUUUAAAAAAUUAUGGUAGGGUUUAGACAAAGCCCGACCCGUUUUAUCCUUUUUAUUUAAAUUUAAAUAACUUAAAUAUAAAAAAAUUAAAAAUUAUGGUAGGGUUUAGACAAAGCCCGACUCGACCUGACCUGAAACAGGUCGGGCAUUUUAUUUCAGUGACUGGGUCAAGCUCGGGUUGGGUCAUACCCCAUCCGCCCCGGCCCAUUGCCACCCUUAAGUCCACCCUUAUAAUUGGUGUAUGUGACAAUUUUAUAGAUAUACGUACAUACAUACAUACAUAUGUAUGUAUGUAUGUAUGUACAUUCUUAAUUGUGUAUCUAAACAUAUGAUAAUUUUGACAAUUUUAUUAAAUCUUGAAAGAAAGAUGAUAUUUUUGAAAAUUUCUUUUUUUAAUCUAAUAAUAAUAAUUUUUUUUACAAGAUACAUAAUCUAACCCACUAGAUGCAUAUUUUAAUAAUUAAUUAUCUCAAUCUUGUAAAUUAUCAGUUUUCGGACAAAUUAUAUUCAGUGGCAUGCAAAUUGCAAAUCCUAAAUCUAUCAUAUUUGGUUACAGAAUGCGAAUCUUAAAUUCAUCUCACUUUCUUAAGACAAUACAAGGAAGAUAUCACAUUUUCUUGUUUAUAUAAGGCGUAACUAAUAGUGCAUAUAAGCAAUAUCAAAGAAUACUAUUUCUUCAGCAAUUAAUGAGGUAUAAGAUAAAUUAAGUUUCUAAAUAAUAAAAGUUUUGUCUAAUCUAUCUGACUCUUACGUUUCCGCUUUGUCAAAGUCAUAAUAAAGCUGAUCUUGAUCAGAUGAUUUGUCAUCAGGCAGCUGUAAGAAAUUUGAGAAGAUCUUGAUUCUUGUAGUUCUAACAGAUUAAAAUUUAUUGGAGACAAACCGAACCCAUUACAUGAUCAGAUGCUUCUAAUUAUUCCUAGAGCUGGCAUAAGAAGAUACGAAUCUGAUCGUACAUUACAUAAUAUGAAAUGCAAGCAUAGCUAGCUAAAGAUUACUGCUUGAGAACAAAAGAAGCCAAGCGUUUGAUCAUUUUCCUAGCAUUCUCAGUCUCAUAUUUCAAUAUAUGAAAUGCAUGAUCCUCACCCUCUACUUGAACAAGCUCCACUUCUCCUUCCCACCCACUUUCCUUGACAGCAUUAUAGUACAAAAUCCCUCUAUCCCUCAAAACAUCCAAUUCAGCAACACUCACCAGCAGCCGACGGCACCCAAGUUGAGCCAAGGUCGGCGCUUCCGGGCUAACAACGUUGAUCAUCGGAUUAUCAGCCCCGCCAGCCACAUUAGGGCAUAAAAACUUCCAAACAAGGCUGGGCAAAAGCUUCUCAAAAUCUCUUGUAUCCUCUGAUCCCACAGGCUUCGAGCCCCAGAAGUACGGGUGAGUUAAAAAAGCCCCUAAAAUUUUAACACCACCGGCCAACUUCUCUCUGCCUGCUCGCAUGACCACAUGAUGAGCAAUGUUAGCUCCUGCACUAUCGCCAGCUACAAAAACUCGAUCAAAAUCCCCAAACCUCGCUAGCCAUGGCUCCUUGUUAUCAAAGCCGCCAUUGUUGACAGAGUGUGAAGCAACCCAUUGGAGGGCAGACCAGGAAUCUUCGUAAGCGAUGGGGAGAGGGUGUUCAGGGGCUAGCCUGUACUCAAUCGAUAUUGCAACAACUUUGGCUUCAGAAACCAGGGCAUUCAUCAGCUUUGUUUCGACUAAAGAGAAGGCGGACUCAAAGCAGAAGCCGCCACCGUGUGUGUAAAACAAGAUUGGGAGUUUUUGGGUGCUGAUGGGUUGUGCGAGUUUCGGGAGAUAGACUCUAGCCGAGAUUUUGGGGUUCUCGGAAAUGGUGAUGUCUUUGGAUGAGACUCCGGUUUCUGGAUCCUCAUCAGGCGACGGCAGCACCAUUGGAGAGCCGCUGAGUCGCUCAACGGAGCCGUCUUUGUAGACUCGGAGGAGUGGGAGCAGCUCUGAUGCUACUUCGGCCAUGGAAUUAACUCUUGUCCUCAAGUGACUCAAGAGAAAAAAAAAAUGCGAUUUGAGAAGUAUGCCAGAAACUACACCCCUAUUGCUCCUAUAAAACAACGCAUGCGCAGCCAAACCUGAUAGUUUUUUUAGUUGAAUUUUGAUCUCAUAGACAUGAUUCACGUCAUUCGUGUUGCAAAUAGCACAAAUUUAAUAAAGAAGUUACAAAAGACACCAAAAAAAAAAAAUUAUAAUUAUUUUUUUGGGUAAAAGUCCAUUUAGUCUCUAUAUUUUAAGAUUAGUGUCCGUUUAAUCCCUAUAUUUUUUAAAAUACCUCAAAACACCCUUGGCAUCACCUCCGUUACUGUUAAUUCUAGAUUUAUGAGGGUAAAAUUGUAUUUUUCUUGGUCAGAUUUAAAAUUUUAAAAAAUUAUUACGAUAACCUAGAUCCAUAAUUGCAAAAACGUAUUUUAACCCUAAUAUUCUUUAAAACCCUCGCUUUAAGAACUUAAGUAACUUGCUUUUUUAAAACUCAUAACAAUUUUCUUGCUAUAAAAUUUUUUCUAUCGGAAACGUUGUCUUGCAGUAGAUGUCAAAACCGACAACGAAGGAAAUUGGCCUAUUCUAGUACGUCUCACGUUGGUCUUGUUUAUUUAUUUAUUUUUUUAAUCUUCCAUGUGUUCAGUGAAAAGAAAUUAUUUUUCUUUUCACUUGAAUGGGUAUUUAUUCCCAAGACUAAAAUUUCAUAUGAAGUAGACUAAAAGUUGAACGAUUUUUGUUUUGCAGUAGACUAAAAGUUGAACGGGUUUUAUUUUCUUUCUUUUUUUUUAACCCUUUCAUGGUUGUUUCGUAGCUUAAUAUUAGUAGUGGAAUGGAUUUGUAAUUGAAAAGAAAUUAUUUUAACUUCACUUGAUUGAGGUUUUUUUUGUAAAAAAAAAUCAUAAUCAUAUAAAGUUCUAUAAUGUCGAUUUUGUAUUUUAUGAAUUCGUAUGUAAUAGUUUUAAGUUUCUGAUAAUUUUUUGUUCAUCUUUAUGUUGGCAGAUUCAAAUGAGUCAAAUCAGCAUUUCAGUUCGAUUUUUAGGCAAAGAUGUGGAGGAUGCUUAUGAUCCUGAUUGCUUGAGUCUUGUAUCCCUCAUCAACGAUGUCUUGAAUAAUGUCUUUGGAAGGCACAGGCAUUCUGAUGAGAGCUUUAAGCUUACUGGCAUUGUCCCAUGGAAUUAACUCUUGUCCUCAAGUGACUCAAGAGAAAAAAAAAUGCGAUUUGAGAAGUAUGCCAGAAACUACACCCCUAUUGCUCUUAUAAAACAAUGCAUGCGCAGCCAAACCUGAUAAUUUUUUUAGUUGAAUUUUGAUCUCAUAGACAUGAUUCACGUCAUUCGUGUUGAAAAUAGCACAAAAUUUAAUAAAGAAGUUACAAAAGACACCAAAAAAAAAAAUUUAUAAUUAUUUUUUUUUCUUUUUAAUAAUAAUGUGUUAUUUUAUACACAUCAAUAUCACGUAACACAAAACAUAAAAUAACACACAAUGAAGAUGUACAUACAAUAAAUAAAUGAAAGAUUCAAUAAUGAACCUAUUGGUGUCAUACAUACAACAAAUAAAUGAAAGAUUCAAUAAUGAACCUAUUGGUGUCACAAAACUCAAUAUAUUUUUUCUCUCAAAUAAAUGAGCGGAAAUAAAUAUUUCCUUCACUCAUUUGCAUUGAGCAGAAAUCCCUCUUUUCUAUGAGGAUAACAUCAUUUUUUUUUUAAACUCUCAAAUAAGGUGCUUCAUCGACUUUUAAUCGAUUUCUAUGUUGAAACGUCAAAGAUUUUUUGUGAGGUUUUUUAAAUUGGUUGAAAAAGAAAAGUGAGCCACAUGCAUUAUUUUUGUUUUUUAAAAUCAGCACCAAAUUACAAGACUUUUGCCAAGACUUUUGUCAACUACUUUAAGAUUUUUUGCAGUGAAGCUCAACUAUAAAUAGAGCUUUAUUCAGAGAGCAAAUUGCAUUCCGAAAACUUGAGAGCAUCUCAAAAUUGUUAAGCUUAUAAAUUUCUAAGUUUUUGAGAGAAGUGAGAGAAGUGUGUCCGGAAAAUUUAUCUUUCCUGCAGAGUGUAAGAGUACUGGGUAUAUUUGGGUUUCUAGGAAGUGAGAUUCGUUACUCAAAUAUUUAUACUCUAUUAAUUGUUAAAUAAAUAAUUAUUCUUUCUUGCCUCUAUAGAUGUAGGUUUAAUUACCGAACCACGUUAAAUAAUUAUAUCUUUUAUUUUUCUGUAAUUAUUUAGUGCGCUUAAUUCCGCAUUCCGCGCACAAUAUUCUAAUCAUAUGUUUGAUUGUAAAUGUAAUAACAGAUAUAGUGUUAAAAAUAAUAAUAAUAAAAGUUCUAUUUUUUAAGUGCGGGUACCCAGUUGAAUUUGUUGUAUUCCACCUUUCAUUCAAAGAUGUAUCGCGAUUCCGCAAUCCGCGAGCAUUAUUGAACGACCACUUGACCAGAGCUUGAGAGCCUGUUAUUAGUUUAUUUUAUAUUAUCUCAUCUUUAUUGGGAAGUCAGUUCGCCUAAUUUUUUUUUCCUUUAAAAAAUAUUAAAAGUCUGAUAUUUUUCUUUUUUGUAAUAUUUAAAAGCUGAUAUUUUCGAAACAUUCAGAAAAAUAAUAAUUAAAAAGCUAAAGAGACACGGCAAAUGAAUUAUUCACUCUACUUAACUUGUUUUGCCCGUCUGGGGGGCAAAAUUGCCUAAAUUUGUCUUUACAAAUGUCUGUAGUAACCACGCACUCCACCUCUAUAAAAUAUAAAUAAAAUAAAUAGGCCUAUCUUUAGGGAUAAUUGAAAAAAAAAAGUUAGUAUAUUGAAUUGUUAAAAUAUUAAAAAAAAUGGUUAAUAUUAUAAAUAAAUAUUAUCUAAUAACAUGAUUGAAUGAUUUCAAAUAAUAUUAUUUAGUAUUGAAUUUAAAAAAUAAAAAAACAAUUAUAAGCUUUCCACACGCCUUCCUCUUUUUAAAAAGAAGAGGAAGAAAAAAACAAAAAAGAAAAACUAUCAUCAAUAUGUAACAAUUGAUCGUAUCGACUCGCUAAUAAAAGUACAAGUAGUGCAUGCUCUAGCCGGCUAAAGGCAUCUUGUAUGGAACUGAGUUCUCUUAAUAUCCGUUUGAAAUUGAGGUACUGUAACUUUUAAAUUAUAAUUAUUGUAGAAAAAAAAUUAUAAUUAUAGGCCUAUCUUUAGGGAUAAUUGAAAAAAAAAAGUUAGUAUAUUGAAUUGUUAAAAUAUUAAAAAAAAUGGUUAAUAUUAUAAAUAAAUAUUAUCUAAUAACAUGAUUGAAUGAUUUCAAAUAAUAUUAUUUAGUAUUGAAUUUAAAAAAUAAAAAAACAAUUAUAAGCUUUCCACACGCCUUCCUCUUUUUAAAAAGAAGAGGAAGAAAAAAACAAAAAAGAAAAACUAUCAUCAAUAUGUAACAAUUGAUCGUAUCGACUCGCUAAUAAAAGUACAAGUAGUGCAUGCUCUAGCCGGCUAAAGGCAUCUUGUAUGGAACUGAGUUCUCUUAAUAUCCGUUUGAAAUUGAGGUACUGUAACUUUUAAAUUAUAAUUAUUGUAGAAAAAAUAUUAUAAUUAUAAAAUAUAAAUUAAUAAUAUAUAAUAAAUAUAAAUUUUACAUAAUAAUUUUAAUAAAAUUAUUAAACAUAUAAUAGAUUUUUUAUUACAAGUUACAGCAGUUAAUAUUUAUCAAAUAUUUUAAUACUGUAAUUUUUAAAUUAUAAUUGUCCAAUUUCAAUCUCAAACACACCCUAAAUCUUUGGCCGGCUCAGAGUACAAGUGUAGUCUUGCUAGUUUGCCGCUUUUCACCAGAAACACUCACAGAGCAAAGCAAGUCAUACUCAUAUGUGCUCGACUCCCCAAGUAAGGGAAUAUCUCAAGCAAGGAACGAGGCUUCAGCAUCUUCAAACCCAGAAGAAUUCUGGGCAUGCGACAACUCUACUUCAAAAGUUCAAGCUGUCAAACUCAAACACAUCAUAAAGUAGUUGUUGACGACCAAGCAGAUUGACCCGAUGAGGAUGGACGUUAAUUUCACACAUUAAAGACUGUUCUUUUGCUGUACACAUGAUCUUUGAGUUUAAUGAAUAGCGGCUAAGCAGCCAACACAAACUUUGGGCAAUUACAUUUGUACAGUAUUAUUUAUGCAAUGAAUUAAAAAGUAAGCCGUUUUCAGAAUAUUAAUGAAUAGAUAGUACAAUCUCAAGGGACGAUACUAUACAAUGCGGACAGUAGAGACUUGACCGCACGGCACAGACAGUAAAUACUAUAUUAUGUGUUACUACAAUAACUAUUAAUGGCGGUUUGGGGAACCAAUUAAGCAAGAGACUUGACAUCUAUUGGACCAAGCCCCUGGAUUAGUUGUUGAGAAAACUGGACAAGGUUUGGAACAUAAUCUUGGCAAUCUCAGUCUUCGGAUUAAAAAAAUGAAAAGCGUGAUCCUCUCCCUUGACUUCAAACAGCUCCGCUUCUCCUUGAAACCCACUUUCCUUGACUGCAUUAAAAUACCAAAUUCCUCUAUCUCUCAGCUGAUCCUUCUCAGCAACACAAACCAGAAGCCUUGAACAACCAAGCUUAGCCAGAUUCGGCUUGCCUUCACCAACAGGAUUGACCAUUGGAUUAUCAAUACCUCCAGGCGCUGUCGGAUACACAAAUUCCCAACUUAAAUGUAAAAAAUUAUUCUCACGAUUAUCACCAACAGGCUCUGAACCAAUUGGAUUUGAUCCCCAGAAGUAAGGAUGCCCAAGAAAUGCUCCCAAGAUCUUAACACCAGUACUCUCCUUCAAUGAAGACUCGUGAUUAUCAUGAUCACCUUCACCCGCUCGCAUAGCUAUAUUGUGAACUAUAUUGCCUCCUGCGCUGUCACCACCAAUAAAGACUCUCUCAAAAUCGCCGUGGUUCAAUAACCAGGCCUCUUUGUUGUUACUGGAGUAGUUUUCAUGAUCAUCGAUUUUGUUACGAUGAGAUGCAACCCAUUGAAGAGCAGCCCAGCAGUCUUCAUAUGCUGCAGGAAGAGGGUGCUCUGGGGCUAGCCUGUAUUCUACAGAGACUGCGAGUACUCGAGCUUCAGAGACUAAGAUGUUGAGGUAUCUGUGGUUAAGAAAUGAGAAGGCGGAUUCGAUGCAAAAGCCACCGCCAUGAAAGUAGACAAAGAUUGGGAGUUUUUGAUGAUGAUCAGUGAGUUUUGGGAGGUAGAGGCGGGCUGAUAAUGAUAUGGCGGGGUUUUGGGAGAUAC
This 36710-nucleotide long non-coding RNA is filed under the name Citrus sinensis (sweet orange). Its description in RNAcentral is "long non-coding RNA (CSIN_LNC003781)". Lineage: Eukaryota; Viridiplantae; Streptophyta; Magnoliopsida; Sapindales; Rutaceae. The record is from RNAcentral.